RNAcentral lists this ribosomal RNA (615 nucleotides) under Triticum aestivum (bread wheat). RNAcentral's name for it is "partial small subunit ribosomal RNA". The record is from RNAcentral. Lineage: Eukaryota; Viridiplantae; Streptophyta; Magnoliopsida; Poales; Poaceae.
AUGGGCGAGAUCGAUGAUCGCCGGUGGGGCGCGGUGGACAGCUUAGUAUUGGUGGCGGUGGCGGUGGCCGUGCUCGUAGUGCUCGGCCUGCUCACCGUGAUCCUGUGCGUCGCCCUAGGAGAUAAGCAGCCGCUCUACUCCGCCGCCAUCGACGCCGCCACCGGCCUCGACGGCCACGAUCUGAACCCUCUCUUCAACCUCACCCUCCGCGUCGCCUCGCGGAGCAUCUUCAUCGGCGACUGCACCGCGCCCGGCACGGUCGUGGAGGUGAGCUACGCCGGCGUCCCGCUCGCCGCUGGGCCCGUCCAGAGGUUCUGCACCAAGCGAAGGGGGACCAGGGAGCUGCAGGCCAUCGUGGCGUGGGGGACGGCGGUGCAGAUCCCCGGGUUUGCCCUCGACGGCCUCGCGGCGGACGCCCGGCGAGGGACGCCGGUGUUCGAUGUGGCGGUCACCAUGCCGGGAACCCACUGGAGCAACCACCAUGGGACGAUGGUGUCGUGCAGGGGCCUGCGCGUCGGGGACACGGCCUCGUUGGGAGCUACGUGCGCCGCUUCGGACGUGGACACUAUCGUGACGCUGCCCAGACCCAGCGCCAAGGUCGACGGUGCCAAUUGA